Molecule: transfer RNA, 73 nt
Filed under: Stegodyphus mimosarum
Lineage: Eukaryota; Metazoa; Arthropoda; Arachnida; Araneae; Eresidae
Rfam family: tRNA
About the family: Transfer RNA (tRNA) molecules are approximately 80 nucleotides in length.
Source: Rfam by way of RNAcentral
GCCUUCGUAGUGCAACUGGAAGCACACUCGAAGCGUAUUCGAGAGGUCUUGAGUUCGAAUCCCGGCGACGGCA